UGGGGAAUCUUGCGCAAUGGACGAAAGUCUGACGCAGCGACGCCGCGUGGGUGAUGAAGGCCUUCGGGUUGUAAAGCCCUGUGGGGAGAGAAGAAUUAGUGUUGGCUAAUAUCCAGCAUGAUGACGGUAUCUCCUUAGCAAGCACCGGCUAACUCUGUGCCAGCAGCCGCGGUAAGACAGAGGGUGCAAACGUUGUUCGGAAUUACUGGGCGUAAAGCGUGUGUAGGCGGCUAUGUAAGUCGGAUGUGAAAUCCCCGGGCUCAACCCGGGAAGUGCACCCGAUACUGCGUAGCUUGAAUGUCGGAGAGGUUGGUAGAAUUCUCGGUGUAGAGGUGAAAUUCGUAGAUAUCGAGAGGAAUACCGGUGGCGAAGGCGGCCAACUGGACGAACAUUGACGCUGAGACACGAAAGCGUGGGUAGCAAACAGGAUUAGAUACCCCGGUAGUCC
RNAcentral lists this ribosomal RNA (448 nucleotides) under uncultured bacterium. RNAcentral's name for it is "bacterial SSU rRNA". It matches the Rfam family "Bacterial small subunit ribosomal RNA", at positions 355 to 796 of the family's 1533-position model. The record is from RNAcentral.